CCACAAAAAAAGGUGUUUUUGAGGCCCCAGAGCUGUCUCGGCCCUGGAGGGACCCCUGAGGGCACCCCCGGGCUGGGAGAGGCUGGGGCAGGAGCCGUGCUGGGGAGGGGGGGCGCCCGAGGGGAGAACAACAAUUAGGCAAAGAUAUCGAAGGAUUGAAGGCUGUUAUCCCCUUAUGUAACCCUGGAUACUCCGCAAAACUAAUCGAGGCCUUUCUAAUACGGAUUAUUCAUCACAAGUUUCAAGCUCAUUAAACAACAACAACAAAAAAAUUAAAAAAUCAAAAAAAAGGGGGAAAAAACCCAAAAACCCCAAACCAAUCCAAACCCCGCAACUCGGGUGCGAAGCGUGCAAAAUGGUGGAUUAUUUUGUAGCUGUUUAUUCGGAUUUGCAAAUGGCUGCAGUGGCUGCUGCUGGCACCCGGAGACAGGACGAUUGUGAAAAUUCCCCCAAGGGCCUCGAUUGCUGCAUCUGCUGAGAUGACGCAACUCAAGAGUGGAGCCUGCGGGUGAAGGAUGGUGCAGAGGGAGGGGCCAGCGCUGCUCUGCCACGGGAGAAGUGAAAACAGCCUUGAAAAGGAUGGGGAGAAACUUAAACAUAUUCCCCACAUCAUCAAAAAUACAGUUUGUUCCUCCUCCAGUGCUGAGCGUUGUGGCAUCGCUCUGAGGAAUUCGGUGGGAAGAGGUUUGGCGGUGUUUUUGCGGAGAUUCAGGUGUGGCUUCAGCUCAUGCUGAAAAUACUGGAGGUGGAGAUGAUUCCCUGGAAUUGCCUGGCCUGGAGCUGGGAAGGUCUGGUAGUGAAUAUCCCAGGGAAAAGUGAUCCCUGCCCUGCUGGGCUGGGGGUUUGUGCUGCCUGAGAACAAGGAGGGCAAAAAUCAGCACAUUGCUGCAGAAAGGUUCAUCUGUGAGGU
Molecule: non-coding RNA, 910 nt
Organism: Cyanistes caeruleus (blue tit)
Lineage: Eukaryota; Metazoa; Chordata; Aves; Passeriformes; Paridae
Source: RefSeq, a predicted model, not a curated record